This 117-nucleotide microRNA precursor is filed under the name Trypanosoma vivax Y486. Lineage: Eukaryota; Euglenozoa; Kinetoplastea; Trypanosomatida; Trypanosomatidae. The record is from RNAcentral.
AAGAAGAAAAAGAAGAAAAAAAAACAUAGAGAGAGAAAAGUCAUUUAUUCUUCUCUUUUAUUUUGAUUGGUUUACUGCUUUCACACGGAUCUCUCUCUCUGUCUCUCUCUCUCUCUU